This 484-nucleotide ribosomal RNA is filed under the name uncultured bacterium. RNAcentral describes it as "partial 16S ribosomal RNA". It matches the Rfam family "Bacterial small subunit ribosomal RNA", at positions 30 to 507 of the family's 1533-position model. The record is from RNAcentral.
AUUGAACGCUGGCGGCAGGCCUAACACAUGCAAGUCGAGCGGAUGAAGGGAGCUUGCUCCUGGAUUCAGCGGCGGACGGGUGAGUAAUGCCUAGGAAUCUGCCUGGUAGUGGGGGAUAACGUCCGGAAACGGGCGCUAAUACCGCAUACGUCCUGAGGGAGAAAGUGGGGGAUCUUCGGACCUCACGCUAUCAGAUGAGCCUAGGUCGGAUUAGCUAGUUGGUGGGGUAAAGGCCUACCAAGGCGACGAUCCGUAACUGGUCUGAGAGGAUGAUCAGUCACACUGGAACUUGGACACGGUCCAGACUCCUACGGGAGGCAGCAGUGGGGAAUAUUGGACAAUGGGCGAAAGCCUGGUCCAGCCAUGCCGCGUGUGUGAAGAAGGUCUUCGGAUUGUAAAGCACUUUAAGUUGGGAGGAAGGGCAGUAAGUUAAUACCUUGCUGUUUUGACGUUACCAACAGAAUAAGCACCGGCUAACUUCGUG